RNAcentral lists this ribosomal RNA (502 nucleotides) under uncultured Lactobacillus sp. RNAcentral describes it as "bacterial SSU rRNA". It matches the Rfam family "Bacterial small subunit ribosomal RNA", at positions 38 to 507 of the family's 1533-position model. The record is from RNAcentral. Lineage: Bacteria; Bacillati; Bacillota; Bacilli; Lactobacillales; Lactobacillaceae.
GGCGGCGUGCCUAAUACAUGCAAGUCGAGCGAGCGGAACCAACAGAUUUACUUCGGUAAUGACGUUGGGAAAGCGAGCGGCGGAUGGGUGAGUAACACGUGGGGAACCUGCCCCUAAGUCUGGGAUACCAUUUGGAAACAGGUGCUAAUACCGGAUAAUAAAGCAGAUCGCAUGAUCAGCUUUUGAAAGGCGGCGUAAGCUGUCGCUAAGGGAUGGCCCCGCGGUGCAUUAGCUAGUUGGUAAGGUAACGGCUUACCAAGGCGACGAUGCAUAGCCGAGUUGAGAGACUGAUCGGCCACAUUGGGACUGAGACACGGCCCAAACUCCUACGGGAGGCAGCAGUAGGGAAUCUUCCACAAUGGACGCAAGUCUGAUGGAGCAACGCCGCGUGAGUGAAGAAGAUUUUCGGAUCGUAAAGCUCUGUUGUUAGUGAAGAAGGAUAGAGGUAGUAACUGGCCUUUAUUUGACGGUAAUCAACCAGAAAGUCACGGCUAACUACGUG